Molecule: long non-coding RNA, 1351 nt
Filed under: Lupinus angustifolius (narrow-leaved blue lupine)
Lineage: Eukaryota; Viridiplantae; Streptophyta; Magnoliopsida; Fabales; Fabaceae
Description: long non-coding RNA (LANG_LNC000536)
Source: RNAcentral
CCAUUAUCUUCUGUAUCAUUGUCAUCUUCUGAGGCUGCCUUAGCAGUCUUGACCCUUUUCUUACUGGAUAGAUUGUUUUCCUCCCCUUUACGCUUUUUAGGAUCGAAAGUGGUCUGUUUCUUGCCUUUUGCAACACUUUUUUUUCUCGGUUUAACAUCAUCAUCCUCAUUUUCUUCCUUGCCACUCUCACUAUCUGAAAUACCAGAGUUCUCUUCACUGCUGACCAUUUUAGUUGCUUUGGUAUCAGGUUUCUUCUUAACAAUUUUCUUAGCAUUAUUUGCAGGUUCCAAAACUUCUGAAGACGAUAUUACCUUCACAUUCAACAAAGACAUGCUAUAAGCAUCAGAUGAUAUGUGGCUGUUCUUAUGGGAAGCAAUGAUACUUUCUAGACAGAUUUUUCACUCACCUCGUCUAGCUGUUGACUUAUAAGCUUCUUAUAGAGAUCAAGAGUGAAUUUAUCAAGUUUAAGAUCUUCCUCCAUAUUUCCUCCAACUCCUUUAUUAGCUGCCCUUCACGCUUGUUUUCAGGAGCCUGCUUGACUUUUUUGUAAAUUGUGGGAGGAAUGCUGGUGGCAAUACAUAAUAUCAAGCAAUCAUCCUUAACAAAGAUUAAGGAUCAUAAAAAUGAUGUAAAGAAGAAAAUUACCUCAUUCCACAUGCUUUAAUAACAGAUUUUAGGUGUUCCACACGUUUACCAUACACAGGAGUUGAAACCUCUUUCUUCUGCAGUUGGGGAAAAAUAAAGAGAUGAUAUAAUAAAAUAUAUGAUAUCCAUUUAACUUCUACGAAUUGACAAAUCAUAAAUGAUGUUGUGGACAGCUUCACGAAAAGUCCCACAGAAGGACAACCAUGUGGCUAUUUCAUCACAUACAGAGCAGUUAUUCAGCUAAAAGAUCACUAUUAAAUUAAGAAAUGAUUAUGGCCUUAACUGUCCGACAUGCUACCCCACUUUACUCAUUGCAAUCAGCAUGAUCAAUAAUUCAGAAUACCUUUGUACAUUUUUCUGGUAAUGACCCGGACUGAUCAUCUUCAGAGUGUUUUCCAUUAUCUUCUGUAUCAUUGUCAUCUUCUGAGGCUGCCUUAGCAGUCUUGACCCUUUUCUUACUGGAUAGAUUGUUUUCCUCCCCUUUACGCUUUUUAGGAUCGAAAGUGGUCUGUUUCUUGCCUUUUGCAACACUUUUUUUUCUCGGUUUAACAUCAUCAUCCUCAUUUUCUUCCUUGCCACUCUCACUAUCUGAAAUACCAGAGUUCUCUUCACUGCUGACCAUUUUAGUUGCUUUGGUAUCAGGUUUCUUCUUAACAAUUUUCUUAGCAUUAUUUGCAGGUUCCAAAACUUCUGAAGACGAUAUUAC